CCGUACCGAGGGGCGCUGCGACUGUCAGGCGGUUCAUGCCGCCCAAUACAGCCAGGCUCGGACGGCUACCCACAGAACGGCGCCCGGCGAAC
This 92-nucleotide non-coding RNA is filed under the name Stenotrophomonas daejeonensis. RNAcentral describes it as "SAH sequence". It matches the Rfam family "SAH (S-adenosyl-L-homocysteine) riboswitch aptamer". Lineage: Bacteria; Pseudomonadati; Pseudomonadota; Gammaproteobacteria; Lysobacterales; Lysobacteraceae. The record is from Rfam by way of RNAcentral.